AGUGAACGCUGGCGGUAGGCCUAACACAUGCAAGUCGAACGGCAGCACAGUAAGAGCUUGCUCUUACGGGUGGCGAGUGGCGGACGGGUGAGGAAUACAUCGGAAUCUACUUUUUCGUGGGGGAUAACGUAGGGAAACUUACGCUAAUACUGCAUACGACCUACGGGUGAAAGCAGGGGAUCUUCGGACCUUGCGCGAUUGAAUGAGCCGAUGUCGGAUUAGCUAGUUGGCGGGGUAAAGGCCCACCAAGGCGACGAUCCGUAGCUGGUCUGAGAGGAUGAUCAGCCACACUGGAACUGAGACACGGUCCAGCCUCCUACGGGAGGCAGCAGUGGGGAAUAUUGGACAAUGGGCGCAAGCCUGAUCCAGCCAUACCGCGUGGGUGAAGAAGGCCUUCGGGUUGUAAAGCCCUUUUGUUGGGAAAGAAAAGCAGCAGGUUAAUACCCCGCUGUUCUGACGGUACCCAAAGAAUAAGCACCGGCUAACUUCGUG
RNAcentral lists this ribosomal RNA (492 nucleotides) under uncultured bacterium. RNAcentral's name for it is "partial 16S ribosomal RNA". It matches the Rfam family "Bacterial small subunit ribosomal RNA", at positions 29 to 507 of the family's 1533-position model. The record is from RNAcentral.